Molecule: transfer RNA, 71 nt
Filed under: Haliplus lineatocollis
Lineage: Eukaryota; Metazoa; Arthropoda; Insecta; Coleoptera; Haliplidae
Also listed under: 1 other name
Description: tRNA-Val
Source: RNAcentral
CAAAUUAGAACUUGUUUAGUAAAGUAUUUUAUUUACAUUAAAAAGAUGUCGUGCAAAUCGAUAUAAUUUGA